RNAcentral lists this long non-coding RNA (243 nucleotides) under Citrus sinensis (sweet orange). RNAcentral describes it as "long non-coding RNA (CSIN_LNC000806)". Lineage: Eukaryota; Viridiplantae; Streptophyta; Magnoliopsida; Sapindales; Rutaceae. The record is from RNAcentral.
GGGCAAAAUGGAAAUUUAUUAAAAUACGAAGAAAAUACAAGAUGGAGAAGGAAUUACAGAAAAUGGAUCCCAAAAAUGGAUUCAAAGAUAUCAAAUUAGGGGGGAGAGGCCCCCUUUUUAUAGAUACAUGGAGUAAAUCAUGGCCAUCGGAUUAAAAACAGUUUGGACGCUCAGGAUUGCGCCACGUCAUCAGUCAACAGUACACGGUUUGACCAAGCGGAUGAACAGUAACACGGUUUGACC